This 1110-nucleotide long non-coding RNA is filed under the name Athene cunicularia (burrowing owl). Its description in RNAcentral is "lncRNA (ENSACUG00000010814.1)". The record is from RNAcentral. Lineage: Eukaryota; Metazoa; Chordata; Aves; Strigiformes; Strigidae.
GUUGGAGGAAGCUGUCCCCCAGACCGGCGUGUCUCAGAGGGGGAGUGAUGGAGAGCAGCAGGAGCUGGGAGCUGAACAGUCUGCUGGGAUGCCAAUGGAGUUGGAGGAGGAGGUGAGAGAAGGGGUGGUGUGAUGAGUGGGGCCUGGUGGGGGGCUCACAUACCCUCGUGGGGUACCCUGGGCACGCUGGGAGAGGGCAGGAACUCACCCGGCCCACGGGCUCCUGGCUCAGCGUGUGUGGGGCUGUGGACUGCUGGCAAAACCCCUUAACUUCCCAGCUAACGGGGAAUUUGGGGAACAAACUCAGCUCAGAGAUGGGCUAAUGCUGUGCUUUUGGGUGAUUGCUCCAGGCUCCAGAGGAAACGCCUCCCAGCAGCCUCAGAGCAACCCACCAGACAGACGUCCAGCUGGAAAGGAAGACACCAAGGUGCCUUCUGCAGGGGUUGUCUGGCAGCCGGGCAGAGACGCUCCUCGCUGCCGUCCUGAACGUUGCCCGAAAGCAGUACGCCCUCCUGAAGGCUGCCGCCCUCCUCACUCCUGCCAUGGUCUCCGAAUUUGAGGACCUGGAGCGCCUGGUCAGUCAGGAGGCUGGUGUAAGCGGGGAGCAAGCCACGUCUGCAAAGGGAGCCUCAGAGAUCAGCGGGGCCAGCUCUGCCCAGAGGAUGCAGCAGGGCUGUGAGGCCCAGGUGUCUGUCACCGUGCCCAGCACCCCCGGGAUGAGCGGCACCGUGCAGCGCUUGCAGGACCUCGCUGCCCCCUGCAGCCCCACGUCGGUGGCUCCUGGCCCAAUUAAGAGGAAGGGGACUACAACAAGCCACACGUCCCUGGUGUCAUCAGCUGCCCAAAACCGCCGCACCCUGCCUGCUGUGCCCGUUCACAACUUGAACGAGACUUUUGAGGUCUCCAAGGGCAGUGGUUCACCCAGCGUGGCCGAGGCAGCUGCCUCCAGCCUGCCAGAAUUCUCCAUCUGGGAGAGUGUCCAGAGCCACCUAAACAAGCAGGACGGCCCCGUCAUGCCCCAGUAAGUGCUGGCCGGGGGGGGUUAACUGUGGUUUUGGGGCUCCCCCCUCCACAAUCUUGCUGUCUGGGUGAAUCCUCUGUGGAUCGCUG